UUGUACUCGUUUUUUCAAUGCCUGACUUUGUGCAUAGGUUCAUCAGUUCUGUUUGUACCAUAAAGUAUUGCAUAGUUUUCUGCUACUAUGCUUGGUUUACGUGAAAUGUGACAUUGAUCUUAGCUACUGUUCCGGUAUAUAUGAGCUAGAGUUGGUUCUAGGAAAUUCAAAUUCCAUGAUGAAUUGUGAUGUGCUCAAGUGUAUUUCUAUUGAAACAUUUGCAGGAUUGGUUUCUGGAGAAACAUCGUUGGCUGGUCGGUAUAGAUAGUUCGGACUUUGGGUCAUUCUCUUGAUAUUUAUCACCUCAGUAUGCUGAGAAGAUUCUUUUCACCCUCCAGAUAGGUACACAAUUCUCUUCAGUGAGAAUUAACUAUAGCCCUUUUUUAUAGUAUGCGAUGAGAGCUCAGGAACCACAGACGUUAAAGUUGAGUUCUGGAUGAUGCGUUAUCAUCAGCUUUUGUAUAGAAUUUAGCUCAUUACCCCUGACAUUAUUAUCGCGUGCAGAGUAUUUUCUGCAUGCACAUUCUCUGUAAAUCUGGUCUUGUGAAAUUCAAGUUCAUGAAUAAUGGUAAUAGAGCAUAUCAACACCAUAUAAAACAAGUUGCUUGUUUUGUUUUAUAGCUCCCUUUUACUAUAUGAAACUUUAGGUGAAUGGGAGUAUUGAAGGAUUAUGGUUCCAAAUGCUAAAGGGAUUUGCUAAAAUUUGUAUCUUAACUAUGUUGGUUGAGCCAAUUUGUAUGCACCUCGACUAGAGGCAUCAUUGAGAAAAGUGCAUGGAUACCCGAUUUUGAUAUUGCCAUUUAAAUUGUGUGUAUGACUUCGGGCAACUUCAAACUUAUGGUGUUUGAAAUUAAUCUUGUUAAAGUCCAACUUCAGACACAACGUCUAAAGUUUCAUAUGGAUGGAGUUCAAGUCAUUUGUGUUUGAUUCAUGCACAUAAGUUCAAACAAAAAAUGAUUGAAUUUCAGUUAUACAUGAUUGAUGUUCAAGCAAAAACGACUGAAGAUUAAUCAUUUUUACUUGAACUUACGAUAGAAAUGCAUGAACUUCAGUCAUAUGCAACUUCAGAAUUUUUUUGAAAUAGGACCAGUUGUUUGUUUUUGAAAGCUUCAUUUGUAUGUUGUUAUUGACUUCUCUUUUGCUUUUUCGUUGAAGCAUCAAAUUAUUAUUAAGUACCUUAAACUUUCCAUGAAAGGAGAAAGAUGCUUCUACUUCUUUCAACUAAUUAAAAAUUACUAGUAAAACUUUGGUAAUGUAUCAUCAAUUACAUGGCAAUCUAUAAAUAACUUAUUUAUUCCUUUAUUUGGUUAAUAUUUUGUUUUAAUUCGAUUUGAUUACUCAAAAAAAUGUCUCCAAAAUACAAAGUAUAUUUAGUUUUUCCAAAUAUAAAAGAGUAAAUUGUUUUCUAUCUUUAUGAGAUAGAUGUAAGGUUUACAUACACUAUCUUUUUUAGACUAUGCUUAUAGAAUUAUACUAAAUAUGUUAUUGUUGUUGUUGUCGUUGUUGAAUAUAAAAGAGAAAACCGUUUUCAUAUUAUUAUUUUCUGGUUAUUGCUUGUUGUAGGAAAUAUCUUUAUUAUGACUUGCACUUCAGAUAAAAAAUCGUUUUUUUUUGUUAUUUAUUGCUUUUAGUAGGAGAUAAAUAUGACUUUCACUUUAGACCAAAAAAACGUUUACUUUUUUUGGUUAUUUGCUUUUCGUAGGAAAUAUCUUUAUUAUGACUUUCUUUUUAGAAUAAAGAAUUAUUAAUGCAGUGAAGAAACAAAAAGAGGAAAAUUGUAGCUCAAAAUUAAGUGUAGUUAAAUUGAUUAUAUUACUAAUUUGCCUCAAAAAUUUGAGUUGGAGAUGAAAUUUAUUCAUAUUUGAUAUUUACAUCAAUUUAAUCUACGCUUUCUGUCGUUACGGAGUUCUUCUGUUUGAGUCUACAAAAUCGAAAGUCAACUGAUUGAGAAAUCAAUAUUGAUUUAUGCAAAGAUGCUUCUUUGAAGCGGGAAUAAGGAUACAUAAUAUACCUCUUUAGAUAAUCCAUCAUACAAUCAUAGUUUAAUCAAUAUAUAUUCUCUUCUCGAUUUAAUAUUUAUUUAUAUGAUAAAUUAAAAUAUAUUUUGGUAUAAACAUUAAAUGCGGUAUUUAUUUUUUAUCAAAGGUGGAGCUAACGGAUUCGGCAGAAUCUAUAGCUUUAGUAAAAAAAAAUUGUAUUUGUUUUAAUUAAACAAUUUACUUAAUAUAAUUAAUGAUAACAUAAAAUGGCAAAAAUGGAGACUUGGCUUCCAAGUAUUAGAAAAUUGACCCAUUAUUCUACAUGCUUUUCAAUCCAUUGUGCAGCCUUUUUUAAUAGCUUUGAAUACUCAGAAUUUGAAGCAUAAUCCAAAUAUUAAAAAAAAUAAAAAAUUGAGUAAAUUUGCUUAUUAUUGCCCCUCAAAUUGACCAAAAAGAUCAUAAUUAGGAAUAUGUUUUAUUAGUUCAUGCCCCACUAGUCAAAAUUGAACUCUUUGACUUAAAAAUAAUAAUUGUAAACAUCUAAUUCUUGUAGAUGCGUUUCAAUCUAUUUUGUGUCAUGAAUGAUAGAAUCAUAGUAGAUUUGAUAUUUUCAAAAUUUAUCUAUAACUCACUAGAGAUCCGAAAAAUAAAAAAAAGAUUUAUUUCAUAACAAGGCACUUGUGGGAAAAAAGAAGAAUAUUACAUGUGCUAUUUAAAUAACUAUAUUUAAUUUGGAAAGGGAGUUUAAGAUAUUUAUUUCAACUUGUAUAUUAUACAGGUUAUGAUCGAAAAAAUAAAUAAACACUUAAAAUAUUGUUAAACGUUAGUUUGAUAGAGAAAACAAAUACGAUAAUCUAAAUUUUGAAUGAUUUAACAAAUUUUCAAGGUAUAAAAUUAUACGAGUUUUGUCAGAGACAUAGAAUAUGUCAAAUAAGUUAAAAAUAUAUAAUAAAAAAGAGUGUCAUAUAAUUUGGAACAAAAAUUAUCAUGAUACUCUUAUUGAUAGGUCAAAUGAAUUAAAAAAGCUACUAAAAAGAAUCAUAUUAUUGUAGAACUCAAGAUAGCUAAGAAAAAUUAAAAGCCUAAUAUAUAUAUUUUAAUAACUUGUUGCAUAUAAAAAUACAAUAAAGUAUAGUAUAAUAUAAAGUCUUUUUAUUUUCUUCUUGAACUUUUCCUUUAUUUUUGUUUAAUCAUACCUACUACUCUAGUUAGCCGGCAAUUAAUUAAAUAUACAUUCUCCCCAAAUGGGUAGCAAUAUAGUUAAACUUUGUAUCAUUAAUUAGUUAUUAAAUUGUUGUCAAAAAUGAAAGUUGUAUAUUUUAUUAACAAUAUAAGUUACAUUGUCAUCAAUGACAUUAAUAAUUUAUGUUAAUUAAUCGAUAAGGAAAUGAAACAAACAUAUUAGAAAUAAGCUGAUAAAAUUUACUUACAUCGAAUAUUUAUACCAAAUUAUAUUGAUAUACCAUAGUGAAGUGUUAAAUUAGUUAACCAUAAUUUAGUGAUGAUCAUAUUUGUAAAAACACAUAUUAUAUAUUUAUUGAAUUGAUAUGACUAUGAUCAAACCUUAUUGGAUUUGUGGUUAGUGUUGAUAUCACAGAUUAUUUGUAUUUGUUGACACAAGUAUCAUGUCUUGUUUUUAAAAUUAUAAAUAUUAAUUUUAAGAAGAUUUACCGAUAAAAUAUUCGUUAAUGACAUAAUAAUAAAUUUUAAUUUAUUAUUACUCUAACAGUAUAUAUAUAUAUUAAACUCAAUCAAUAAUGUAGCACAUUCUUAUUCUCAACAAUAUUUUCUGAAAUACCAUUAAAAUCUCCCCCAAAAAAAAACUUAAAACAACAAUUUUUUAAAAGAAAUAACAAAAAAUAGACUUGGUCUUAACCAACCAGACAAAGAAAUGCUUAGUUGGGUAAAUCAUUAAGCAUUUGCCUAUGACUCUAUCCUUAAUCCUUAUCAUAAACUAAUCAAACUUUUAUUAAUUAAUCCGAAAUAUUCUACAAUGUAACCAAUCUUUUUUUAGUUUCAAUCUAAUAUAUCUGACACUCGAUUAAUUUAGAUUAGUAUUACAAACACAUUUGACAUCAUUUUUUUAUACACAAAAUUUGAAUCAAGAAUCAUCCUCGAAAUAACCAAUUAAACCUUAAUAACAUCAUACAAAAACAAAAAAAUUAUACAAAAUUUCCAAGAAAGAAUAAUUAUUCAAAAAAAUAAAAGAAAAAAUCAUUGACCAAAAAAAGUCUCUUUGCUUGAAUUUUAGAGCCUUUAGCUUACGUGUGUAGCUGUCAUAUUUUAUAACGCGGUUGUCUUUUUCUCCACGUAUUUAUCUAUUUUCCUUAACCCUACCAACUUUCUCCAUAGCCACCCCAUGCAUUUCAUGUUACGGAGACGGAUUCAGAAAUUAAAAUUAGUGAAUUUAGGUUUACGAGCAAAGAUAAAUGACAUAUCUACCCUUGCAAUUGCAAUAAAAAGGCGACAUAUUGCAAGCUCGAAUUCCGAUAGAAGAAUUUGUGAUGAUUUGAUAUGAUCUGUAAUUAAUCCAACAAGAUAAUUAGUCGUUAUAUAUAAUAAGAAGUCAUACAUAUUUAUCAUGACUUGCGAGUCACAUGCUUCCUUGUGUCGUAGCACGCUUUGGAAUUAUAUUGGUUCGAUCAAGUUUAUGAGCAAUCGACCAUGAUAUCAAAUAUGUUGAAUACAGUAUGAAGUUAUAUCGAUUUGUCAUGACUUGCAUGUGAAUUUCAAUCUCUCUUGUCGCCAUCUUUGCCACUCAACUUAAGGGUGUUUUAAGUCCAAGAAAAUUUUCAUAAUUUUUUUUUUAAAAAAAAUCUUAAAAGUAAUUAACUAAUUAAUUCUUUUUAUAAUGACUAACAAGGACAAAAUUUGAAUAGUGCCUCAAUAAUAUGACUUAGUCCACAUAUUCUCACUAUAUAUAACCUAAGAAACCCCACCCACCCAAAGAAAAAAAAAACUCUCAAACAACCAACACAAUCUCAAAAAAGAAAAAAACCAAUUAUCCAUUUUUCUUCAAUUCUUCUUCAAAAAAUAGAAAUAUCUUUCUUUUUUUUCUUGACUAUAUAUUCACUAUAAUCAUAUUCUUUUUUCGCUCCCACUCAGAUCUAUCGCGAUUUAAAAAGACUUCAUUUUCUUAUUAGCAGACCAACUCUGUUCAAGAACAAAUUACCCUUCUUUCAUUUUUCGACAUUUCAUAGUUUGUUAAUUCAGUGCUUUAUUUCUCGAGUCAAAAAACAACAAAAAUGGGGAUAGAGAAUUGGUCUUUAUUAGGAAAACUAAAAAGGGCAGUAAAAAAGAUUACUUUUUUACUAAAUUUUGAUAUCAACAAAUGGAAAUUAGCAACAUAUUUGAUUGGAUCAUCAAGAAAAAGUUUGCAUCAAUUGAGUUUCAAUGAGAAGAUUUUGCAAAAACAGCCAACUGGAUUGAAUGUAAUAUGUAUUGAUGAAAAUGAUGAUCAAGAUUUGGCUAAAAAUGCAAAUAAUGGUUCAUUUAAAGGACUUCAAAGAACUAUGAGUUAUCCAUCAUCAGAAGAUGAUAUUGAUAAAAGGGCUGAAAUGUUUAUUGCUAAUUUCUAUAAUCAAUUGAAACUUGAAAGACAGAUUUCAUUGGAGUUAAGGUAUUGUAGAGGGAAUAGUUUUGGAUCUUCUACGUCUCCGUGAGAGGAGCAGAGACGGAUUCAGGAUUUUAAGUUUAUGGAUUCAAGAUUCUGCGUGUUUUUUUGACUUUGACUUUUCAAGAUUUUUAAAGUGUGUAUAGAUUUUGUGAAGAACGGGAUGGAGAUAGUCUGGUUUUGUUAAAGAUGAUCUUCAUUGCUAAAACUUGUAAAAACAGAGCACACAGUUUUUCAUUUGUAUGCUUUUUAAUUCCUUAGGUGGGGUGGGGUGGGGGUCUGGGAUUUCUUUUACUUUUUUUUUGGUCCUACUUGUAAAGUUGGUAUCAUGUGAGCUGAUCAUGAGUUCGAGCUAUGGAAACAGUUUCUUGCAGGCAUGUGACCAAAUCAUGGGUUUGAGCUGCGAAAACAUCAUGAGGUCGAGCUAUGAAAAGUCUCUUACGGAAAUUCAGAUCAUGAGUUCAAGACAUGGAAAUAGUCUCUCGAAGAAAUGGCGCACGGGGAGGGGGUGGGGAUGAAGAAUUCUGCAUAGAUUCUUAAGGUGUGAUUUUUUUAAAUUUAUUUUUCUUGCCAUGUACAUUGUACAGAUGAAAAGUAUACUUGCACAUUGAAUAAAGGAUUAGUUUUUCUUUUUGACUUAAUAACAACAUAUUCAGUGUAAACGCUUUAAUCCACUGACUUUUGUGGGGUAGAAAGGUUGUUUUUGAUAGACAUAAUGACUAACUCGGUGGAUUAGAGAAGAAUUCGUAAAUCUCAAGUGUUUUUUCUAACCUCGAUCCUUCUAAUUGGUGAAGGAGAAUAGUUGACUGUAGUUGGCAGAUCGCUGCUUAACAAAUGAUGUGUGGUUAAGUUCACACAAAUUCAAAAUCUAUUGGAGAACAAUGUUGUUAUAUCACCCUCGAAGAUUUCUCAAUUAUAAAAGAAAUAUAGACAGAUUCAAGAACAUUUCCAAGCUAUGACGUCACAAAUUUCACAAGUGACAACAACAAUAUAUCCAAUGUUCGGGAGGGUAGAGUGUACGCGUACCUUAUCCCAAACUUGAGAGGUAGAGAGUAUUUUUGAUAAACCCUCGGCUCAAGGAAAUACAAAACUUCACAAGUAUGAACCAGGACACAAAUAACUACCGUAAAAUUAAUACUAGAACAAGUGCUAAACAUCGAAGUACACACCAUACAAGCACAUAUUGAUCAAAUUGCUAUUACAAUAAUACUACUAGUAAUUACAUUUGAAAGAGCGAAAAAAUGUUCAUGAAAUUAUGCACCACGUCAAAUGUAUUGUGGUACAAAGUGAAGUAUUCUGCUGUCCCGGGACUUGUUGCACUGUAUAAUAUCAUCUAAUUCACAUACCUAAUACCUUUGCUGGGGCAAUAAACGCUGCUAUUUGAAUUCAGAAUUGACAGAAAUGAGGAGAUCAUCUAGUAGUCGAUCACAAGUAUCCUUCAGUCCGAAAUUCAAAUGCCAACUCCACUCCAAGGAUAAAUACGAGGCCAACUUUUAAGCUGCGGUAGGAUAAAUAGUUAUCUGCUAACACUUUUGGCAAGAAAGAAAAUCGAACUGAGCUUGGAGUAGGAUGACUAUUGGGUAUCACCAAGAGAGCUCAGAAGGUGAAGGUGGUUGUUAUCUUCGGGCUUUGCUGGUCGAGUGUAAAUAUAUCGCUACAGAAACAACGCUGCAAAGAAGUAUAAAAUUCCUAUUCAGUUAUAUGCCUUGUCAAAUUUGUGGAAUUUUCCCCAAAGAUGAAAAAAACAUAGCGGUAAAACAAAUUUUCACACUUACGUGGAACCAAGGAAAAAGGCAAGGGAAAGGUGAAACCCAAACAGAAAUACAGAAACAACUGCAGUCAGUAGCAUUGCAACUGAAGUUGAAUAGACCUGCAAACAAUUACAAGCUAUAUUAAAAUGAUAUCUUGUCAGCUUGUUCAUAGGCAGAUUGUGUGUGCGAGAGACAAAAUUCUCGUCCCUUCUUUACAGGACUAUAUCUCCUCAAAAGCACGCAAACUUAAAGCAAAAGAAAAGGAAGAGGAAAUCUCAUUGUCAACUGCACCACAAUCAUUUCUAUACUCUAAGGACGUGGAUAUGAGUGCAUCCUAGAGCUUCAUAAGAGGGAUCUAAGAGACUCUUUAAAUGGUAGCUAAACUUCAUGCCUGAUCCAUCAAUGUUUUAGCACUCCAAAAUAGUCGCCUAACCAUUGUCCUAAUUUUCAGCCGAUAGCUCAAAUAUUUUGGAAUGUCUGUUUUCUCUGUAAUUACAUUUCAAGCAAUAAGUUAGCAGCUUAGUAUACAUCAUUUCUUGAGUGGAAUCUCUAGUCCAGUUUACCAUCAUUGCUUUACUCUUCAAUUAGAAAAGUAACAUAGCCAAGGAAAAGAUAAAGCAUGUCAGGCAUUGUGCUCACAACAUAGAUAUUCUACGGUGAUCUCAGACGUGGAUAAUUGGCACUAGACUAAUGAAUCCAAUUAACACAAACUAAAGCAGAUGCACAACCAGAGUCAACCCUACCUUCACAAUAUUGUCAGCAUACUUCAUCACCAUUGAUACUGCAAUACCACUGCAGAGAGAAGUCUUGGUCAGUAAACAAUUGAAAGGCCACUGAUGAGUGAUGAUGCAAUCAAUCCAAUUUAAAACAGAUGAAUGACAGAAUGUUAAACCAAAAAACCACAGGCAAAAGGAAAAAAAGGAAUAAUGCAGCAGAAAUGAAACUUACACCCAAAGUUACUCUAUCUAAAUAACCCAGUUUCAGUGUAUAUACAAAUCAUUUUGAAUGGUUAAUUAGGUUUGCAAAUGAACACAAUAAGGGGUGAGUGUACAUUGUAUAAAAAAUUAAAAAAAACAGCACAUUGAGCAAAUACGACAAACAAACAAUUUAGGAAAAAAUGCAACAUGGCAGAGCUUGCACCUAGUGGAACUGUCUUUUCCCUAGAGUAUUGUUUAUGUCAAUGAACACAGCCAAUACAAAAUAGUUCCAUUAACUUAAUGCUUAUCAAGAGAACAACUUAAACACUAAACUAAGCAACUGCAAAGCACAGAAAUUUUCGAGUACGUUUAUGCCUCAGGAACAUGAAAUAGCUAGCACAAGAAAAGUAGUACUCUCCACUGUAUCCAUAAUCUUGAAAUGUAUCCAUAAUCUUGAUAUGUAUAAAAUACCACUAUGAAGAUUUAGAGGAAAUCAAACCUUAGUGCGUGGUUGAGAAUCAUGAGAACCGUAAUCAGUGAAUAUCCAUGGAAGAAUCCACUGCAGAAGAUAAGGUCAAAUUGUAAAACUUUACAUAGAUAACAAAACAUGAAGCUCAAUCUGAUGAGGUAAUGUCCUUUCAAGAAGAGUUAUUGUCUGUGGUCACUGAAACUGUGAUGUGCUUAACCUAAUGUUUAUUUGUGAAUGAAGCAUCAUACAAUAAUGAUUGGAACUAAAAAUCACGAUAAAAUAUAAUGGACAGAUAGGAAAGCUCCAAAAGAACCUUUAGAAAUGGAAAGAGUACUGAGAAAAAACAAGGUAUGCCUGAGAUAAUAUUCCCAUAAGUUAAACUACAACUAAACUUCAAUCACAAGAUAUUGGAAUGAUUCUCUAUUCCAAUGUACAAUUAAUUUACUAAGCUAGCUCAAAAAACCUGAGGUCAUAGCAUAUUACAAGUGUUCUAUUUUAGAGAAAAAGAGGCGCACAAUGCAAAUAUUUACAUUGUAAAAUGAAAGGAAGGAAUGCUAUCAACUUACUCGUUCAUGACUGCAUCAAAAUCUUGAGUCAUUAUUGCAAAAGCAUUGAAGAUCAUUCCAAAGACAUACAACCAGAAGUUCUGAACAUUAAUAUUUCUUGACGGUCUCUUCUUAAUUAUAGCCUGCAAAGAUAAAAGAAAACUUAUGCACAUGGUAUCUGAGUCUAGUUUACUUUAACGUUAUGCCGAGCAUUUUUCGGUUGCUGAUGAAGCCUGAGAUGGUAAUUAAACACGUAAAUCACCAGGCUCAACUCUAGUAAAGCAAAAUGCAGUGAGAAGCAGUUCUGAGGUCAUCUAAAGUGCAUAUCUUUGGACUACUUAUCUAACAGAACAUAUCUGAAAAGAUGUACCUCUGUGUAAACUCCUGCAAAACCACUCAAAAGGGCCAUUACCUGAAAUCAAACGAAGAGGUAUAAAACCAUUAGAAGCAAUAGUUUUAACCUUAAUGUUAUAUAGUAAUGGGAAUAUCUGCAACUUACAAUAGCCAUAACCCAACCUUGUAAAGGAGCCUGAAGAACAUGAUCAGAACUGUACAGAAAGCAUCAUUACAUUAGAGAAAUCCAUUGUUCAUUUCUCUAUUCAUAUAAAAUCAACAGAAUAUAAGCAGUAAAAUCAUGAUUGCCAUCUUUUACCAUCCAGGCUGAAACACAAAAAAUAUAUAACAAGAUAUUCAUCUAUAUAAACAGUUCUAGAGAUGAGAUGCGGAAACUGCUAUAACCUCACCUAGGAUUAAGCUGUGCAGUGGUGCACCCAGCACAAAGUAGAAUGAAAGCAGCCCACUGAAUUUCAGUUAACCUGAAAGUGAAUGUUGCUUUGAGUGUGACAAAAUAUAGAACAUCAAAAUAGGUAAACAAGUAGGAACACAUUCUUAUAAUAUUAUCCAGAAAGAUGACAAAAUAAACGUAGCAAACCUGACUAUAUUAUUCACCUUGAGGUUACUAGCUUCCUAUAGUCAUAUCUGUCAAUUAGAAUUUCUUUUUAAUAAGAAAAGCUUUUCCCUUGAAGAUGACCUUUAGUGGAACCUUUUUCUUUUCUUUUCUUUUUUUACAUUUUUUGGCAUCCAUACAAUAUUCUUGAUGAUCAAUGCAUUUCAUAGAAAAUUUUAAGAUUUUCUAUUUUUGUGUACUUGAACGUGGUUUCUCCUAUCACUUGAAUAAAAUUCAAACUUCAUAAAAAGGUCAAGCUUUUCCGUUCAUAUCCACCGAAUCAGAAAAUAGUGCAGGACAACCUUGCAGUACAAGGUUUCCAGAAUAGAUAGAUACACUCCCAGCUCCUUGUAUAUUACAGGGGCUGCCAAUCAACUAACCUCCAUGAUAUAUGGCGGAGCAAACUGGCAUAGGCUUUACUGAGUGUUAAGUGUUAACUGCUCAUUCCUUGACAAAUCAAAGUGAAACUAAGGAGAUAGAUAGCACACCUGAUCUCAUCUUUAAGGAAAGAGACAUACACCAUAUAUAUGGAAGCAUAGAAAACUUUUUACUCUCCUACAUGGGGCGUUGUCAAACUUCUAUUUUUCACCACAAUAGGCUGUCCAAGUAUCUGGGACUUAGCUGUGGUUCCUCCCUCUUGCAGCUCAUUUCUUUUUCCCACUGCAACAUGGUAUCUUUUAAUCUUACCAUGCAGGCUGCAGCUGCUUCCCAGCAUUCGAUUUCCUCCUAUAUAUUUAGGACCCAAAGCCUGAAAAGCUAAAAAUGCUUCCUAAAAUGCAUCACCAUCCUCUUAACCUCUCUUCCUCCCUCCUCACCCUCUUUCAUAAAACUGAACUGUUUAAGUAUCUCAGCACAAACAACAUCUUCUUUUUUUAAGUAUCUGAACACAAACAAAAUAAGAGGUGGACAAACUUCCUUACGGCGAAUGGACUACAUUCUAUCUUUGAUCACUAAAGUAAAACACAUAACACCUUGCUAAUGGAAUGCUGGAAGCUUAUUUGAAUGCUGAGUGUUAGAAACUUACUGGAAUGCUGGCAGAAUCAAAGAGUAAACAAGGGAUUGAAGCAGAACAGGAAAACUACUCCUCGUUUUCCAUUAUGCAUUAUGUGAGACAUCUGAUUACAAAGAAAUAAGAGAUGCUUUGAAGGCCAAAGACUUCAUAUUUCUUUGUUAUAAAUAGAUGUUUAUAAGACUUGUAUUUUUGGUGUAGUAAUUGCAUGAUUGGAAGCUUAUCAUACUACUUAGAUUUUUGGACCUAUUGGAGAUAAAACUAUAGCAUCAAUGCAGUAGUGCUUUGAUUGUAUUUUGUAGUACCUCUGUGGUACUUUAUUAAUGAAAGUAACCUUACGUUAUAAAAAGGAACCCCCAAUUCAGUGUGAAACAGAGGGAGCAUAUAUAUGAAAUUACUCAUAUGUAUAUAUAGGCACACACAUAAUUAUCUAAAGCAGCAUUAGAGUACAUUGAAGUUGGAGCUUUUUAUGCUAAGAGAAGACAAACUCAAAUUAAUUUGGGCCAAAUGGAGUAUUCGCAACAAGAAAAUAUUCUGGGGCUUUUUUGUUGUCUGUUGUUUUUAUGUAUUUACCCAGACAACAAGAUGUCUGUUCAUCAAAAUUUGCACCAUAAGUUCAACUUCAUAUCCUUAAUUAGUGAAAAGACUUACUUCCUUUUGAGAAUAAUUUGAUACAAUAUGCCAGUGCUGAUAAUAUUCAAGUUCUUCAGUAUCUGAUAUCCAGGAGCAUCUACAUAGGCAAAAAUGUAAUACUGCAAAGACCCAUGAGAUUCAAUCAACAACAUGUGAGAUAGAAGACUUAAUCAAGUCUGGAAACAAAGAAAGAUAUAACCAAAAAGCAAUAUAAACCUGCCUGAAGUAGAUUCUUGACAAGGUAAAGUGCAGCAGGAAUAGGAUACACUUUAACUUCAUCCCACGUAGUGCUCAACCUAAAAAAAUCAUUACAUUAAUAGGACAGGAGACAAAAAAACUAGCCUACUUAUAACUGAAAACAAACCUCAGUAUGCAAACUCUUAUUCAAGAGACAAGAUCAAUAAAAAUGUUUGACAAUUUGCAGUGUCAUCCACCAAGCAAAUCUUCCAAAAGUAACUCAUUAUGUCAUUCACUAGUCAUUAUUUGAUAGACAAAUCAAAAGUGAAGAAAAAUUGAAAAGUUCAUAUUAAAUGAUUUAAUAAAACCAAAGCUAUUUCAUACACAUAGGAAAAAUCAAACAGUAAGAUGGAAUGUGUUACAACCAAGCAUUUGGAUCUAAAUUCUCUGGCGAAGUUGACCAUAAGCCUUGUGCAAAUACCCUAAGAUCUUACAAGGUAGGGUAUCCAACUGAAUUGGCUAAUAUAUAAAAAUAUAUAUUUUUACCAUACAACCAAGGUGUAGCCUAGUGGUUGGUGAAGUGAGUACAAACCUUGGAAACCAGGGUUCAAAUCUUAGCAGAGACAAAACAUACAAGAUAUUUCUUUCCGUCAACCUUAAGUCAUGGUAAGGUAUUUCUUUCCGUCAACCUUAAGUCAUGGUUUGCAUAGUUACCUGAUGCUUGUGAAUAGUCGAGAAGUGUGCAAGUUGGCCCAUACACCAUUGUCACAAAGCUAUUGCGCCACGGUCCCAAACAAGUAGGGGUUGGCCAUAUGAUAGCUCACUAACCAUUUUUUCCAUUUAAAUUCAUUUCAAGCAAACACUACACAAAAUAAACUUUUUAAAAAGUACCAGAAAUUCUCUAUAUUUUCUCUAAUAGGGCUAAAAAGUUCCUAGACAAGCACAGGAUUUUAUACAUGCAGUGCUCAAGUAGAUUCAUAAUACAGAUAGAGAAGGCAGAAAAUAGUAAUUCAGCUCCGUACACAAAAAUUGUUACAAACCUGUUAUCAUCAGUAACACCGUCCUUUCUCCAGAUUCUUAGCAAGGCCACAAGAGACAAUGCACAUUUCAAUGCCUCUACCUAUUACAUAGAAGUUUGAAUUCAAUUACACAACAAAAAGUGACAAUUGAACCAUUGUUUACAACUAUAAGCUCAAAACAACAUUGCAAAAGCAGCAAAAAAACUCUUGUGAUUUGUGUCAUUUCACUAACCAGAAAAUUUGCAGUGGUUACACUGUACUCAUACUUCCCAGCUCUCUUCGACCAAACAAUGAGAAUCGAUUGUGAACUCGUAAGAACUGUCAGAAUAAGUGUUACAAAUGACCUAUUCCAGCCAAUAGAAAAACAAAACAUGAGCAACUCUUCUCAUUAUCGCAGGCUCUAGCUACACAGUAGACUCUAACUAGCUAAUAACACACACCGGAUGUAGUUCAUAGUGAGCAUAAUUUAUUACAUGUACAUGAUCAGGUAAAAUCAAUGAGUUCAAUUAAACUCCCUAGAUCAAUAAUGGAACUAUACGCCUCAAUUUCUUGUGGCGCAACCGGUUAUUAGAACUAUAACACCGAUUACGUAUAAAUUUUCAGCUGAAAUGAGGAUGAAAAAGAGCAAAUACCUUCGGCUUUUCUGUCGGAAGCCACCAAUCUCCGGCAUUGCUCCGAUCGUGGCCAUGAUGUAUGCUUCCUACACUUGUUCGAUCCCGAAUUUCAGGCAAUUCGUCGAACGCAUGGGUGAAAUUGUAGAUAAAGAAGAGCUUCCGAAUCACAGUUUGCUUUGGAGAUUUGUAAGAUUCAGCGAUGAAGUGUGAAGAAAUGAAAGGGAUGAUGGGCUUGGACGGUCUCUAUUUUUUGUGGGCUGGGCUUUGAAAAUUCACAAAAGGAAUAUUUUAUGGCCCAUCUACAUUUUUUCUCUCUUCGGAUAAAGUGUGCGGAUAUCCAAUUUUGACGUUGUCGUUUAACUUUUGUCCUCUUUCUAAAGUGUUUUGCACAUGUGCUUAUUUUGGUUUAUUUUAGAUAUAUAUACGUUGUCUAAAUAUAGUAUUGACAAAAUUUAAAUUUAGACACAACGUCAAAAAUUUAACUUUUGUCAUAUACUGUUAUUUUUAAGGUAUUCAAGGAUAUUAGUAUUUUAGUUUAGAGAUAUGAUCGUUCAAUUUUUUGUAUUUUAAAAUGGCUAAACUUUAAUUAUAUUUGAAACGCAGACUAAAACUUAAUUAACAAUUCAAAAAAUAAUUAUUUACACAUUUCUCCUUUUACCCCCUCCCCCACCAACACCCCGCCUUCCUUUUUCUUUCGAAAAUGGGAAAUCUUUUUUCUUGUUCAACUCAAUUUUGAUCCCUCUAUAUAGUUCUUUUUUAAAUGUCUUCAAAGUAUCAAAGAAAUAGAUGAAAAUAAACCAAAAAAUAUAUGUGAGAUGGUAAAUGUCAACAAAAUGAUGAAACAUGAGGAUAGUAGAAAGGGUAAGUUAAAUACUUCAAUGGCUACGUACAGUUCAAUAAAUAUAUGUUAAACAAAAUAAAAUUUAAUAUUUUAUUCGGUGACAACAAAAUGAGUCACAUAGAGAUGAUCGACACGAUCACCCGACUCAACGAUCAUCCAUAUGUUGGUGCUUAUUUAUGAGGGUGUAAAAUGAUUCACAUAGAUAAAGUCUCACGCAAUUGCUAUACAAACAUGAUAUUCACUUUUAAGAAGUGAAUUUUCAUUAUAUGAGACAUCGCAUUGAAUAUGAAAAGCAUAUUCUUCAUUACUGACUUUUCGUGGUUGAUCACACCUCACACCUAAAGAAGUUGAUCCAUAUGACGACGACGGCUCUUCUCUUACUGUCAAAAAAAGAUUUACUCUCAAUCCAUCAUGCACUUCUUGAUAUCAUUCUGAAAUAGUUUUCAGACAUACACCAACUAUACAUGCUUAACCUUUUUUUAAGAUAAAGAUUUCAAAGGACCAAACGAUAAUAACAAAAAAGUCUAUAAAUUAUGUAUUUUCAGUCCGAUUAUACUACUUUACUCCAAUUUUAACAUGACAAAAGAAGUAGAUAUAUGAAUAUAAUAGAAUAUCAUUAUCUCAAUUUUGUUAUGUUCAAUGAAUUUGAGAACAAUAUAUUAACAUUGUUAAAUGUUUUUUUGCCCAUACCAUAAGCCAAAUUGGGAAAAAAAUAUAAAUAUAUUUUUGAUGUAACCUCAAUAUAAGGGAAAAGAAUUUACUUAUUUUUUUCUUUUCCUACCAAUACAAAAGGCUAUUAUAGAAACUACACCAUUUACCACUUUCCCCUUUAUUCCAUUUCCUCCCAACAAAAAAUUCUCUUUCAUUUCCUCAACCUAUACAUACACAAACAAUAUAUAUAGAUAGAGAAGCAGGGGGGGUGGGGUGUAAAAAGGGAGAAAUGGCAUCGGAGGAUGAAUUGAUGAUGCAGGAUGCCACCGACGACGGCGAGUCCUUCGAUGAUGACUUCUACAGCGGCGGCGAUGCCCAUGAUGAUUCCGAUGAUGAUGACGUCAUGGAUUACGAUUUCAUCGAUAACGACUCCGAUGAUUCCGAUACGGUCAUCGCACAUCAUCGCUCUCAGGUACAGUUGGAGAUUUUUGAGUUUUUUUGCUUUUUUGUUUGUUUUGUUUAUUAAAUUUAGGAACUUUUUUGAAUUUGGAACUGUUUAUGUUUUUAUUUUUUGAUUGAUUACUGGAUAUAGUUCAUUGCUAGUAAAGGUAUUGAUUUGAUGUUUUUUUUUUUUGCUUAUCUGUUAGAUUACCUGUGUUCUGAUGAGUGGUGGGUGUACCAGACACAGCUUCUCUACCUCUUGAGGUAGGGGAAAGGUCUGGGAACACUCUACCCUCCUCAGACACUAAACUGGGUAUGCUGUUAUGUUACCUGUGUCCAGACCGAUAUAUUUGUUGUUUCCAAAAGUUUAUUUUGGCUUUUGAAACUUAGAUUUGUAACAAUAGGGGGGAGUAUCUAGUGUUCGAGUUAGAGUUGAUUUACACGGAAGGAAAGUGAGGAAUGAUUUGGUUGGAUUAACCCCUUUCUCUUCCAUAUUUAGUAGAAGAGGAAAGGGGAAAAAAUAUAACCUUUUUUUUUAUAAGAAUAACUGGGGUUUCCCUAUGAAUACAGUUUAUUCCGUCUGGCCUCCAGUCCAUUUUAGUUGUCGUGCUUACUAAAACUAACUGGUCCAAAACAGUAGUCGUGUUAGCAAAUUGAGAUAUAAUUUAUUAGUUAGUUUUCAUCUUUACGCUUACUUAAAUGUAUGGAAAAAAAGAUUAGUAUUAAAUCCAUAUAAAAAAUAAAUAAGGAUAAUUUAGUCAAGUUAUCUCUUUAGUUAAUGUUUUCUUAAAGGCCGUGUAAACAUGACAGGUAAAAUGCUAAGUUGCGUGGACUCUUCAUUUUAGCUGCCGCACCUGUGUCGACACGAGACGGGUGCGGGUGUGGGAUACGUGUGAGAUUUAGUCAACCCACAUUGGAUACUUUGACCGGAGUCUGGGGACAAAUUUUGGGGAAAAUUGAGAUUUUGAUAGAAGAUAAAAUAGAUUUAAGACAUGAGUAAUGGCAUACCUUAAAUAUUAUAGUUCCUUUGUCUCUUUUUUAGCUUUUCCUGUUGGUCAAUAUUUGUUGUUUCAAACCAAACGAAGAGAAACUAAGGAUUCAAGCGGUUGUGUUCUGACUUUUGGUAGAGAGUAGCACCGAUCUGUAAGGAGAGUUGGUGGAAGGCCUUGAAUGACUUUCUUUUUCCUUUUUAGGGGAAGAACCAGAGAGCGUGAAAGAAGAAGUUGGGGGUCUUUCAAAAACAAGAACAUCGUUAUAUCUCUAUUUUAUAAUUUUGGAUUGUUUAGCCGAAUCCCAGCACCCGUAUCCAUACAUGGAUCCGUACCCCCAAAUCUUAAAAUUUAGAUUUUGCCGAAUCCGAUCCUUGGAUUCGCAUCCACAUGGGAUACCCGCACCCGAGUCCAAGCAACUUAGGUAAAAUGGACAGGAGAGAGUAGUUUAUUCAAGACAGAGAGCAGUAACUAUUGCCAUUUGGGUUCUCUUACUGCUUGCUUUCUUUCCUGGGUUUCUGCUUAAGUUGGAGUUUUGUGUUCACGUUAUGCCUUUUCUAAAAGAAGCGAUUUAUGACUACUAACUUGCGUAGAAAAUCGGGUGCAUAUAGAGGCAGAUUCAUUGUAUCAGGUGGGGGUUUUGGGGAACCCGGUAACGUUUUCCCAAACCCUGUAUUUAUGUUGAGAAUCCAUUUAUUAUAUAAGAAAUUGAUAGUUGGGAGUCCAUUACUAAAAGAUCUCAUGCUUGAUGUGGAAUCAAUUCCCCUUGCAGUCUGGUGCAGAUGUCCUCUCUAAUCAUAGCUCUUGAAUUUUUUCGCAUUGAGAAACUAAGAUAUAUCAUCUCCUGCUUUGGUAACCAAGUGUAUGUUCCUAAUAGGGAUGCUAUAAAUCUAAUAUGGAAUAAUGACAUAUGACAAGAGAGUGCUUUUAAUAUGGAUAUUAUUAAGACUGAUAAGAUAUAAUGAUGGGUCUUCCCAAGGAAUUUAUAAGGCUACUUUGAGCGUCAUAUUUGUGGCAGUUCAAAUUGAAUUAGAGGUGUAGCAUGCCCUGAAGCCUAAAUGUAUUAUGGAUUGUGGAAGGAAAAAACAUUUUUGGGCUGAAUCUUUACCUUUUCUAAAAAAAAGCAUUUGUGGCUAAAUUUGGGUGCUCCAAGGAAUGCUUGAGUAAUGUUGUGGAACUUCUCUGCUAGCCGUGCCUAGUAAGAAGUACCACUUACUAAACCAAAUUGCAACCCGUGUUUCUUUGAUGCCAAAACUGUAGAAGAAUAAGUAUUGAUGGAGAAAAAACAUCUCUUCAAUAACCUUCUAGUUGGAGCAGUGAAUAAGAACACGAGAAGCGGAGAAAAGCGACCAGGGCUCGCUUCACCAAAGUCAGAAGCGUGAAGUGAAGCGUAUGUUUUAUUCAAUUGAAGCGCAAUUUAAUAUAAAAUAAAAAAUAUUAAAUUUGCAUAAAUAAAUAACCAAGAACUCAAUAGAAAUAACAACAACAUACCUAGUGUAAUCCCCCAAUGGGGUAUGCGAAUGAUGGUGUGUACGCAACCUUACCCUUACCUUGUGAAGGUAUUAAGGCUAUUCCCCUAGACCCUCGGCAACAUGAGAUAACAUAAAAGAUUGAAUCAACUCAAUUGAAAUAACAUAUUAGGCAAAUCUUUCAAUUCUUAAAUUAGAAAGUAAGUAAUAGAUACUCUCAUAACAUAUUAAGCAAAUUUAAAACCAAAUCAUAAAGGGAGCAAUAUCCUAUCUUCAAGAAUUCCAAAAAAAGAGGAGAAGAGAGAAUAAUAGAAAAUGGAGGAGAAAAGAAGUAGAGAAAUAGAUUGAAAAAAGAGGAGACGAGAGAAGAGAGAAGAGAAAAGGUAUCAAAGCAACGGAGAAAAGAAGAGAAAAAAUCGUAAAGAGAGGAGAAAUUUGAAGAGGAAGAUAAGAGAAGAGGAAGAAGAAGAGGAUAAGAUUUACCUCGAAACCCUAAAAUUGGAGGAGAAGAAGAGAAGGGAAGAAGAUGCCUAAGUCUGUCGCAAAAGUGAUGCUUCACACUCGCCUCACUUCUGCUUCUUCUGCUAAAGCAAGCACUUUUUGAUCUCGCCUCACUUCAGGGAACAAAAGCCCCUUGACCUGUCACCUCGCCUCUUUGAAGCUUUUAAUAACAUUGAGUUGGAUGUAUUAUAAACUUGAUAAGGCAGGAAAAUGAUGGUUCAACAGUUGUUUCUGGUUCCCAAUCUUGAUAUUUUCAUCACUUCAAGUGCUGAUUUUCAGAUUCUUGAUAUAUUCUGAAGAUCAAAGAUCAACACUUUGACAAGGGACCUGAAAUCACCUCAUACGUGACGUAUUAUAGAUCCACAUAAGAAAUAAUAGAAGAAUGUAGCAGAAGAUUUUUUUUUGAGAAUGAAGAUAGAGCAGAAGAUCUUGUUGAGCAAGUUCAAUAAAAAGCCAUGAAGGAUGCUUUCUGUUUACAGAACAUAAUUUCUUGAUGCUGCUUAUCCCCUUUGGUUGACUUCUGAAAGCAUGUUAUGUGGAUAAGAAAACAAACUUUCAAACUUUUUGUGGUUCUCUCCCUUCUUUUGGGGGCUCUUGUUGUGAAAUUUGUUGUUUUUAAGGAAGGGACUUAAUUAUUUUGGGUCUUGUUAACAGCUGUAAGAUAUGGCUAGUAUUUAUGUGGAUAGAAAAAGGGGGGUGGGGCGUGAGGGUUGUUUAACAAGGAGGGAAGAGCCUGUUUUUCUCGUAGUUGAUAAUUCUAAUAUAAUUGUUGAGCAGCUGUAUGCUUACAAUUUAUAAGCUCUAGGAUAUCUCUUUAAGGCAACAUUAGGUGUCUACAAUCACAAGUAUGCUGUAACGGAGGUUCAACCUAGAGGAACAAGCUUGUGGAGUAGGGUAAUCUCAUUUAAAUCUGUGCUCGAAGGAUACUGGUGUACUCGACCUGUCUAAAAACUUAAAGGUGUAAAUGAGGAGAAACAUAAGAAAUCUACGGCCUGAGUUCAAGCAACUUAGAAGUAUUAGAAUUGGAAGCAAAACUGUUUUCUGGCUGGAUGAAUGGAUUGUUCAUGGUCCUUUCAAGGAUGAGUUCCCAACUUCGUAUGGUGUUUGUUAUUUUCUAAUGUGAAUGUGGCUGAAUCUAGAGUUAAUGGGACUUGGAUAGUUAACUUUAGGAGAAAUAUGAAUGAUCGGGAAUGCCAAAGCCCAAAAGAGUAUGUGAACUCCAUUAGCUUUGGAAAAUUCCCAAGGUUGCACCAUCUGUGUAAUGGCAAGGCUGCAGUAAAAUAGAUUUUUCAGUGAAGUCUCUUUAAAGGAUUUUGAAUUAAGAAGAACAUCUCAAGCCACGGCCUUGGAAACAUAUCUGGAAGUCAAGAACUUCACAUAAAGUGAUAUGUUUCUCUUGGAUUGUGGCGAAUGAGGCUUGCCUCACUAUUGAUAAUCUCUGAAGAAGAGAGCUACAUUUCUGUAGUAGAUGUUACUUAUAAGGCAGCCAAAAAUAAACCAUUAAUCAUCCUUUUUCGUAUUGUCCUAUCACCGACUCACUAUCUGCUAUGACGGCUAUAACUCUGCUGGUAUUAGAUGGUUCUGGGGAUACACAGGAUCUUUUGCUUUGUUGGUAUAGGCAUGGCUGGACAAAGCAACAAAUAGCUGGUGGUAGACGAUAUCAGCUUAUAUAUGGAGGUGACUUGGAAAGAAAGUAAUUCAAGAUGUUUUGAAGAGAAGCAAAACUCUGUCUAGAGGAUGAACUUAGAUUGUAUCUUGUUAUUUCCUUUUGGUGUAAAAAGGAAUACACUAAUGAGGUAGAAACUUUAUUAAAUUUCAUUGAGUUCCUUUAAGAUUCAAUGAGGACUGUAUUUUAGGCUCUUUUUGCUCACUUUUACAGAAGCUCCAACACUAUCUCGGUGCUGUUUAUGAAUACAACUAUUUCCUUUUCCAAAAAAAAGGAAGGAAAAAGUUGUAAUGUGAUAAUAAUACUGGAAUACUAGGUAUUAGUGCAUUGGUUACAGCCAAUUUUUGCAUAAUUAUCUUUGUGUUUGAUGAAGUGAAUUAAGUCAUUAACUAUUGAAUCCUAUGUUGUAGUCAUGGUUCUCCAGUUGUUUUGAUCUUUAUCAUACUAUUUUCUUCAUUAAAUGCUUGCUUACUGAAAGUUCUCACGUUUUUACUUUGCUCUACCUUUUCUGUAGUCAAACUAUAGCAUCUUGAAUGAAGCUGAUAUUCACAAAUGCCAAGAGGAAAGUAUUACGAAGAUAUCUACAGUGCUCUCUAUUCCACCGGUAGCUGCUGGCAUCCUGCUUCGGCAUUAUAACUGGUAAAUUCUUUUCAUAAGCAUUACCUUGUAGUUAUGAUUACAGAUCUUAGAUGAUGAUGUACAAUGGGUAUUGAAUUAGAAUUUCUUUCAGUCCUCAGUUGAUUUUUGUGGUAUCAAUAAAUUUGUAGUCUAGCAUGUCGUUGUAGUCAUUUAGUAUGAUUUUAUUUGUUCUUAUAAAAAGAAAAGUAUGCUUGCAGUUCUGGCAGUUGGCUUCUGGGAUCUUGAAUCUGAUGCACAUUGCUCUCACUUACCACAUAUGUACAAGCCUUUUAAGGUUUUUAGGGCUUAUAUGCUAAAUAUCUAGCGUUUUUGGGUCGACAGGAGUGUCAGCAAAGUGAAUGAUGAAUGGUUUGCAGAUGAAGGAAAGGUCCGCAGGAUUGUUGGUUUGUUAGAGAAUCACGUGCCAGUCCCUGAUGGGGAAGAGGUAACUUAAAUUCAUAUAUGAAGAGUACUUUCCUCCUUUAGAUUGGAUUGAAGCUAGAGGUUUAGGGCUGGUCACUACUGUUUCCUUGAAUUGAAGAUGUGCACUUCCUUUCUUGCAGCUUACAUGUGGGAUCUGCUUUGACGUUUUUCCUCGUAAGGAGAUCAGUGGGGCUGCUUGCGGUCAUCCUUUUUGUUUCACAUGCUGGCAAGGUUAAUUUCUUCAGAAAAUUGUCGCUUCUUCAAUGGAAGUUUGAAAGGCAUUUCGGUCAAACAUUCCAUCUCCUUGAAUAACCUGGCAUUCCAGAUGAAUGAAACUAGCCUUUUUCCGUUAGACAGAAUUACUUGAGAAAAUCUUUAAGUUACUCUAUACUGUCUUAAACAUGGUUUACUGGUUUAUCUUGCUGCGAUGCUUGAGGUUUGCUGAGCUCAUCCAGCUCGUUGACAAAUAAAAGAUGUUGGAAAGAAGAUAACAAUAUACUAAUGGGAGGAUUAUACUUUUUGUACCCAUUUCAGGGUUGGUCUUGAUUUCUGAAUUUAUUAUAGGUUCCAUAAGCUGUUUGAGUAUUAUUAUAGGGAUGUGCUUCCUUUGGUUCUUAUUUUGGUACUUGUGGGGAGGGCGGGGGGAUCAUCAGUAGAGCUUUUUAGGGUUGAAAAUGUUUUGCAUAUCUAAGGGCUACUCUGCUGUUGUUGGUUCUGUUACCACAGUUCAUUCACUGUCUUACAUGGAGGGACAAUAGUUUUAUCUGGGUUUUCUAAUACCACUUGUGUACAGGGACUUUCUCGCUUAAAUAGGUUGUUACUUGAUUUUAGAAAAAUAUAGGUGCCAAAGGUUGAUUUCGGAACGUAUGGAUAUGGGAAGCUAAAGAGAAAAGAUUACAGUUAAUUCUAUGAGGCAUUUACUGGUUAAUUUUGUCAGCAUAGAAAAAUUUAAUGUUAAUACCGCAAUACGUGAUGUGUGGAUUAGGUGCACGUCAUGUGUUUGAACCUUGUCGUGGAAAAAAACUUGAUAUUUAAGAGGACAAAGGUGGAGGGGGUGGUCCAAUAUCUACCGAUUGGUCGUGGUAUGGUUAAGUUUUUCUCAAUUCCCGUUUAGGCAUCCCAUAGAGCUUCUCAUUGUCUCUCUAUUUGGUGCAGGGUAUAUUAGCACGGCCAUCACUGAUGGUCCUGGAUGCUUGAUGUUGCGCUGUCCUGAUCCAUCUUGUAGUGCUGCUAUCGGUCUAGAUAUGAUAAAAAAAUUGGCCAAUGAUGAUGACAAAAAGAAGUAUAAUCGGUACUUUAUCAGGUCGUUUGUGGAGGACAAUAGAAAGGUAAUUGCUCCCCCCUCCCCCCCUCCUCGGGCCCCUAGUGAUACUUUACUUUUUGUUAUGUCUUUUGGAAGAAUCUUUACUAUAUGCCUUGUGUGUCUAUUAAGUUCCUAAUGGUUGUUCUGGUCUUCUUUAGACAAAAUGGUGUCCUGCUCCAGGGUGUGAUUAUGCAGUUGACUAUAUUGUUGGUAGUGGAAGCUAUGAUGUUACUUGCGGGUGCUCAUAUAGUUUCUGCUGGAAUGUGAGUUGCAAUGUUUGAACUUAACUACUUUAUAUAAUGAUAGUUGUUCUGUUUCUGCAUUUCUGUAAUCUGUAUGAGUUACAUAUUUGCAGUGUACCGAGGAAACUCAUCGCCCAGUUGAUUGUGGAACUGUGUCUAAGUGGAUUUUGAAGAACAGUGCAGAGUCUGAAAACAUGAACUGGUAUGUAGUAUUAGAUUUUAUCAUCCUGUCCUUUCCUUAUCUUUUGUAUUACUUGGUUUAGCUGGCUUUGGUAAAUGAGUCUUGGAAGAGAGAUGAAAUAACUUGAGGAUGGAGCUAUUCUAGUUAGUACUUUCUCUGGUGAAAUUGUUGCACCAUAGAUGGGUUUUAACCAUCUUGGAGACAGAGGUGAAAUUGGCUCAUAAUUUUAAAUAGAACUUGCUGUAAUCAUGUCUUCCUUAUGUUGGGAAAAAAUAGCAACCGUGGUAACGGAAGGCACAAAGGUAAAGUUGGAGCAUAAAAAACUUGAAAUUCCUGAAAGGGCUAUAAUGCAGCCAUUUUCCUGCUCAGAACUUAGAAGAAAAGGUUUCUUUUCUACUUUUGCAUAGGUUUUGAUUCCAAAUUUGCUUUCUCUGUGUUGGUAGUUUUUGUGUCAUACUGAAGUUCGAAUACAUCUGGGAGUACGGAGGAGGUUCUAUCCUUUCGAAAGAAGCAACUCCCUGUGAUGGUCUCAAAGAGAACUUUGAAGUAAUUUUAACCAGACUCAUUUGUUGAAGAGAACAUAUGGUUAUAUUGAUGUAUUCUUUUGAUUUGAAUAUGUAAGCCUUUGAUGAUGGAUAUCAUUACUAGUUACUACUUGAAAGACCCUGGUAAAGUUGAUCAAGUAGCUACCAGGAAAUUAAUGCAGUACCACAUGUCAUGGAUCUGGACCUUCCGCAAACAAAAGCUUGAUAUAAGUUGAGAAGGGUAGAGGGGUGAACCCAUUAUCCAUUGAGAUUCGAACCUAAAACGCCAUGGUUUCUCUGUUAUUGAAGAAAGAUAAUAUUCACCAAGUGAAGGUCAGGGUAUAACAUUAACUUUCUUGGGCUAUUGCCAAAAGUUCAGUAAUUUUUUUUGUGCUUUUGGGCCCAUUGCGACCCUUUUUUGGGAUAUAGUCAUAAAUUUGAAAGAUGUGCAAAAAUGUGCAAUAUACAAGAAACGUAGCAGAAAAUAGAAAAUCUUGGCAAAAGACGUAAUUUUCUAUGAAUAACACCCCAUCAUUUAUACAUAUAGGGAUCUCGCGGGUGCACCAAAAAGAAAUAAAGGGAAAGGCUAUUCCUCAAGUGUACAAGAUCUUUCGCUAUUCCCAUCAGUAGUUCUCCUACUCGUCUCUCUGCACGUGGUACACAAAGGUGCUAGAGAAGCAACAUCCCACGUCCUGCAUCUUCUUAAGGCCCUGCAAAACAUUGUUUCUUUUGCAGUGCCCGUCUUCACCUGCUCUAGUCCUAACCAUCUUAGAAUUUACCACCACAAACAAGCCUUGAUCCAAUGCAGAAAGUUAAAGAAAACUGCAUUAAUACUCUAUAUUUUUGGUGUAAAGAAGAGGGUAUAGAUGAAGUAGAUCAGUUAGUAGAUUUCAUAGGCUAUUUGUAAUCAUGACUAUUUGGCCUUUGAAUGUUUUUUUGUUUGGUUGCCAGCAUACCCUCAUUGCUGAUGAAUACAACUUUACCAUUCUCAAAAAAAACAAGCCUUGAUCCAGCAAUUUAAAAUGAUGGCCCAUUGUCUACUUUAUGUUGUGUCUCAAAUAGGCUCAUGUUUUAGUAGUUACUGUUCUAUUUUUGUUAGACUCCAGUUUUUACCGUCCUUGAUGUUGUCGAAUCUGUAUCAUUUUGAAGUUUUUGAGAUUUAGUUUUUUUGCAAUUUUAAUUGCUGUAUGGUGCCAACUUGUUUUUCUUAAAUAAUUGUUCAUGCUUCAAAGCAGAGAUAUAUUUGGUGUUAUUAGAGCUGCUAUUCAAUCAUUUUUCGACUAUGCAUUUGAGUUAGCUCUGCCUCCUGAGUCCUGACAACCUAGCUAACUUUCUAUACCAUUAUAUUUGUGUAUUUCAUCUAAGCCUAAAUUCUGUGUCCGUAUUAUAGCUGCAUUUUCUGGAUAUGCAUACUGUUUCCACUUUCAAUACGUGGAACUAAACAUCAUUAUCGUGGUGACAUUGCAGGAUAUUAGCUAAUUCUAAGCCUUGUCCGAAAUGCAAGCGGCCAAUUGAGAAAAAUCAGGGGUGCAUGCAUAUCACAUGCACACCACCCUGUAAAUUUGAGUUUUGCUGGUAAGUGUAUUAGCUAUUUCCAUGGAAUUUCUUUCAGUUCCUGAUCCUAGCAUAUGCUAUAGUGUGAGCAAUUUUUUCAGUCAGUCUGCUUCCAUUUUUAACAUUUUGCUUUGCUUACCAUGCACACACUAAGCAGCAGGACUCCCUCACUGAGGUUGUUGGAUGUGUUUUAUCUUGUCUACACUCUAUAUAGCAUAACUAAUUGCUUGUUUCUAAUGUUAGUUCUGGCCUCCCGUGCUUAAAAAAAAAACAACCAUAUCCAGUGUAGUCCCACAAGUGGGGUCUGGUUUGGGGAGGGUGGUGGUACACAGUCUUACUCCUACCUUUGUGAAGGUAGGGGAGCUGUCUCCCAGAUCUUGUUUCUUUGUGAUUCUUGUGAACUAAGAAGACAUCUUUACAGGCUCUGCCUUGGCCCUUGGACGGAUCACGGUGAGAGAACUGGCGGCUUUUAUGCGUGCAACCGUUACGAGUCAGCAAAGCAAGAUGGAGUGGUAAGAUCUUUGCUCUAUUAGUAUUCUCUAUUUUCAAGAUUUAUCUGCUAAUUCAGUUCCUUAAUCAUAAGUUAGCUAAUGUUUAUUUGAUGUUUUUCUUCCAGUUUGAUGAAUCUGAAAAGAGGAGAGAGAUGGCAAAAAAUUCUUUAGAAAGAUAUACACAUUACUAUGAGCGAUGGGCCACCAACCAGUCGGUAGGUUUAGGACACCUUUACUUUUGGUUGUUUCUCAUUAUCAGCUAUCUCAACUUCUGUUAGGAUAAGGAUAAUAGAAACAGAAGAUUGGUUUUUGCUCAUGUUCUUCUAUUUUUUUUGAAACUGGUAACUUUUUGCUCGUGUUCUUUCUAGAUACUACUGUAAUUCUUCUUUGCGACCUAAAUUUGUGGUGAUGGCUUCUUGCAUGGAUGAUGGAUAGAAUUGUUAUGCGACUUGACACAUGAAAUUUUUAUACAUGAUCUGUCAGCAGGCUUUCAGAUAGUGUGGUUCUGGUUCUCAUGACCUUGCUUUUGAUAUCAUCAAUUUAAAUAUAAUAGCAAGAAAGUCUAAUGUCCAUGGGAAUGUCUCGAAUCAUGGAAUAGAUGCUGCAUAAUUUCUGCUCCUACCGGGAGUCUAGUAUUACCAAUCUAAAGAUCUACUUAUGCUAUAUGAAAAUAUAGAUUGGAUGAUGUAAUGUCUCUAUCAAGUUACAAUCUUAUGCAAUUGUCAGCAUGAAGGUGACCUGUAGGACAUUUCGAUAGUUCCAACAAUGGAACCUGUACAUUCGAGAUUGAUUUUCCAUAAUCUAAUGGGACGAAAGAGUCUGUGCAUGGUGAAUAUAACUAAGGGAAAAUAAUUUAUGUAACUAAUUCUUCUCCUCCAAUUUUGUUUGGCAUGCUUUCUGUUAUAUUUUUUCCCAAAAAUGACCUCUUUCCUUGAUAGCAAAGUCAACCCAAUCCAAAAAGAUGUUUAUCCCUUUUAUGUUUAUCUUCAUAUAUGAUAUCUAGAUCCUUAGGAACUGCAAGUCUGGGACUUGGAUCUUCCUCAUGACAUUUAUUCUUCUUUUACUGUAAUCAUCUUUUGCUGUCUUCUCAAAUCAUCUUGUGCAGUGUGAAGGCACUAGAAACUUUUGCCCACUUGUGGGUCUGAAUUGAAAAGUAAUCAUCCAGAAAAAUAGUUCUCUUUUAUGUCAUGGGUUUGUUACUAUCUUCUCUGUUCCAGUAGUGAAACUUCUGUGCGUGUCUUCAUUGCUUUGCAUAUAUUUCAUGUUGAACUGGGCCAAGUCUGCAUCCUGGGGAUUGAGACUUAAGUAGUGUACAAUUAUGUUUCUUUGCCUCAAAAGGCCAUUCCUUUUGUUUCUGAUUCUUCUUAUUUAUUGGGAGAAGUCUAUCUAUAGAUGCUGCAGGAUCCUUGUUUAACUGCUUACCUAAUGUCAGUAAUGUCUUUUUUAUGUCUUAUUGCAGUCGCGGCAAAAGGCACUUUCAGAUCUUCAGCAAAUGCAAACAGUACAUGUAAGAAAAUUUCUGUUACAUAUAAAAAAUAGGGAAAAGGGUCAAAAAUACCCCUUAACUUUGGUUUAUUGUUUGACUAUGCCCUCGCCGUUAAAAUGAAGUUAUUUUUACCCCUCCCGUUACUAAUUUCACCAAAUUUACCCCUCAAUUGGAUGGAAAACCCCAAAUUGACUCAGUUUAACCCAAAUUUUAAAAAAAGACCCAUUCCCCAUUUUAAACCCAAUGCUCGACCCAUCCAAAGUUGAGGGGUAUUUUUGACCCUUUGCCCUCAAUUGGAUGAAAAAUCCAAAUCAACUAAAAUUACCCAAUUUCAAGUAAAUGACCCGAUUUUCUCUUUUAAUCCAAACCGACCCAUUUAUAUCAAAUUAGAACCCUAAACCCAUCUCUCUAAUCUUCUCCAUCUCCUUCUUCCAUUGAAACACAUACUACUAAAAUUGACAACAAAUAUUUUGUAGUUAAACUAAUGCAUAUUUGUCCUUCCUACUAAAAUUGCACCACUAUUUUAGUGUGGUCGGAGCUUGGAGCUCGUUCAAUCAUCGGAUUUUGCUUUCCUGCGGGCAGAUCUGAAACUAUGAUAUUGCUUGCUUGUUGAGCCUAGCCAGAUAUGAAGUUGUGGCUGUUGUUUUCGAGCCUUGAUUCUCGCCUGAUUGUGUUGUUGGUUUGAUCUGUUAGCGGUGCUUCAGUUGUUUUCCGAUGGGGUUUUGGUCGGGGUUUUGUUGGUUGGUUGUUUGGAGGUCGGAGAACUGGUGGUCAUUUGCUGGUUGUUUUAGCUUGGGUGAUGGAGGUCUGGGUUCUGGUGGGCUGAAGUGUGGUUUUACCACUGGAUUUUGGUGUGGAGAGAGUGGUGUUUGAGAGUUGUUUCAGGUCGGUUUCACGGCUGUUUGAAUGAUUCCGACGGUGGGUAAUUUGCUUAAUGUUGUUCCAGCUUGAAACUGGCCGAAAAUGGAGAAGAAAGAUCUUGUUGUCGUCAAUGGAAAGUAGAGGAAAAUGGGUUUGUUGUUAAUGUUUUAUUUGCUUGAUGUCGUUUCUGGUUCUUGGGGGGUUUUUUAGUGGUGGUUUCAGGUGGUCGUUUGGAGGUUGUUUUUGGUGGUGUUUUCGCCGGAAAACGGAGAAAAUGAAUGGCGAUUUUGGGGUUUUAAUUUGGUAUAAAUGGGUCGGGUUCGGAUUAAAAAGAGAAAAAAUUGGGUUAUUUAAUUGAAAUUGGGUAAUUUUAAUUGAUUUGGGUUUUCCAUCCAAUUGAGGGGUAAAUUUGGUGAAAUUAGUAACGGGAGGGGUAAAAAUAACUUCAUUUUAACGGCGAGGGCGUAGUCAAACAAUAAACCAAAGUUGAGGGGUAUUUUUGACCCCUUUCCCUAAAAAAUAUAAGUAUCAAAAUUCUUUUCAUACAACAGUCUUUUGCUUUAUGCUUAUACACUUAUUAACAAACUGCUUGUUUGUUUCUCUUUCCCGAAGAAUUUGAAAAUAUUCACAAGUAGAAGAACCCAGCUUCCGAAUGAACAAGUUCAAACUUGAAAAGGAUUUCAUUAUAUAUUUUCCCUAAAGUCUUGUCCCCAUUUGUAUAGACUGAACUGCUGAGUUUAAUUUUGUUGCUGAGCUUUUUCAGUCUGCUCCUCUGAAAGUAUCUCAUUGUGAUAAUAUAACGCGUUUCUUUGGAGGCAAAAUAAAAGCUUUUUAUUAUCUUUCAUGUUUCCUACAUUGCAUAUUCAUUCAUUGAGUAACCCAUGCAAAAGUGGUCAAGUACAAGGUUGGGUAUCAAAAGAGGACUUGGCCAUCUUUCUCUUUCAAGUUGUCAUUAUCUGAUUGUAUUUCUGAAUUUCCGGAAAGCAUUUAUAGUGAUUGCACUUUGCAGCUUGAGAAGCUGAGUGACAAACAGUGUCAACCCGAAUCACAGCUCAAAUUUAUUAUAGAGGCCUGGUUGCAGGUAAUGUAGAUCUUCUAUGUCAAUAUUGAGUGUUCUUCCUCUCUCUUGAUUCAUGUAUAUAUAUAUUGAUUAUGACGGCUAAAUCAUUGCAGAUAGUUGAGUGUAGGCGUGUGCUAAAAUGGACUUAUGCAUAUGGUUAUUACUUACCCGAGCAUGAACAUGCCAAAAGGCAGUUCUUUGAGUAUUUACAAGGUUUUGCCUUUGCUUCCUUUUCGAGAAUCACAUUUAGAUGGUUUCCUUCAUUUAUUGAGGCCCUUAUCCUUAAUGCCGUAGGUGAGGCUGAGUCUGGACUUGAACGGCUUCACCAGUGCGCGGAGAAAGAACUCCAGGGGUACCUUGAUGCUGAAGGUCCAUCAAAAGAAUUUAAUGAGUUCCGAACAAAGCUUGCAGGGCUUACAAGGUAAUAUAGAUUCUGCAUAAAACCUGGAGUUCUAAUCUUUGGUUUCUAUUAGUGGCUAGUGAAUAUGAUGGUUAGUCUCAUCUCUGUAGGAGCAGAUGAAUAGAACGUUUAACACAAAAGGAUGUGUCAUGUUUUUAACAUUCCUUGAGAAAGGCUAAAAUCUUGUUGAAGAUAUUACCAACUCUUUUAGCAGACCAGGUUUCUAUCAUUGCUCAGUUUCGUUUAAACAAGGAGAGGCUUCUGCGCUUCCUUUUAUUGGAUAAGUAGGAAGAAAGUUUUGCAUUUGCUUGAAAGUUAAUGAUAUUCCACCAAAAUGAUUUAACCUAUUUUUAGGGUUAAGACUCAAAUUUUAGGUGAUCCUAUUGUUUGGAAUCAACUAAUGUAAAAGGCAAGUUGAAUGGACAACUAAUAGGUCUUCGAUUAAAUUCUCCAUUCACAAAACUCUUAUUCUAUCACGGGACCAGUAAGUAGUGCGUUCCAGAAAUAUUGAGGUCUCCAAGUUUUCAGUUGGAUCAGCAAGUCAUCAGGGUAAGCAUCCUUCAAAUGCAACAAAUGCCAAUUUCUUUUGACAGAAUAUUUUAUUCACCAGUAAGGAAACAAACCUUCUAUAUUGCUGUCAUAGUUUCUUAUAGCCCUGCUUCAGAAACUUCUAUUUUUGAAAGGGUCUAUUGGAAACAACCUUUCUACCCCACAAAGGUAAGGGUAAGGUUUACGUACAUCCUACCCUCUCCAGACCACACUUGUGGGAUUACACCGAGUAUGUUGUUGUUUGUAAAUGGGAAACUUACUCAUAUAGGAAUAUGCAAGCAUCUAACAUACUUAAGUUGGAUGAGUGCUAGUGUAGCAGCCCAGUUUCUUGAGAGUCACAUUCAAGCUCUGGUUUCUGAGGCAUGUCCACUGAUGAAUAAUAUAUGAUAUCUUUUGUGUUAGCUGAUUCCGACAUGAAAGCGGGCAGAACAUCGCUUGUGAUUCAUAGUUUCUGUAUGAGAAAACUAGUACGGCUGUUGUACUGCAGGAACAAAAUCUUUUUUAACCAGGUUUGAUUAGAUUUAGGGUCUGUACUUGUCUCUUACUUGUGUUCAACUUUAGUGUACAUCCGGUGGAGGUUCUUCCUAUUUUAUUGCGCAUCUUGCUGAAAUGCAGGGAUAUCCCAAUCUGUUAUAAUUUAUUUAUAGAGAUGGGUAGGGAGAAUACUAAUAAUUUAUUCUGUUCAAAUGAUGACAGCGUAACUCGAAACUACUUUGAGAACCUGGUUCGAGCUUUAGAGAAUGGUCUCUCGGAUGUGGACGGUCAUGGUGCUUACAGCAGGGCAGCUAGCUCAAAAAGUUUGGGAGGUGGGAGCAUCAAAGGAAAGGGCGGUAGAGGAAAAGGAACCACAUCAAGAUCAAGCAGUUCUAGAAACAUAGAUGAUUCAGGACAUUGGUCUUGUGAGUAUUGUACAUAUGCCAAUGUUAGGUCUGCUACCGCGUGCCAGAUGUGCCAGCAGCGUCGUUGAAGCCAUUUUUGAAGUUACUACUUCAGAUUGGGAAAAUCCUUACUAUCUGCUGAUUGCUAUGACUGAGGUCCAGCUCCAGACGUGUCUUUUAAGUCACGUACAUGCAGGAACAAAUCGAAACCUAACAGUCGUAAAGUCUGAUAGAGACGAUAAGUUUAUGGCCAUGAGUUGGAAAGUCAAUCAUAUACAUCUGGAGAUGAAUAUGUACAUACUGUUUGUUGCCUGUCAUCUUUGUAAACUGUAUCUGACUUUUGCCAGAAAAAUGUUCUUUUGAAAUAUUCAACUCCCUGAUUAUACAAAGCUGUUGUGUUAGUAAAGUCUUAAGGGCAUAUCACAGCAUAUGAAAUAGAAGGUUCCAACUAAAAAAAUGGAAAGGAGUGAAUGUAUAGUUAAAUCUUACACGAUGCUAGUAUCCUAUGCUGCUCCGACUCUUCAAAAUGUUAUGGGUGCAUGUCGGAUUUUUCAAAAGUAGUGCUUUUUUGAAAGAUUCAACAUGGGUGUGACAUCAUUUUUGGAGAGUCGAAGCAACGUAGUACCUAUUUCACUCACUCAAGUACAUUCUCGAAUGUUCGAAUUGUUUCUAGUUUCUAGGAAGGUUUGCAAAGUCUACUUUUUUUUAGCAUGUGA
RNAcentral lists this long non-coding RNA (31516 nucleotides) under Solanum tuberosum (potato). RNAcentral describes it as "long non-coding RNA (STUB_LNC010422)". Lineage: Eukaryota; Viridiplantae; Streptophyta; Magnoliopsida; Solanales; Solanaceae. The record is from RNAcentral.